UACGUAGGGCCCGAGCGUUAUCCGGAUUUAUUGGGCGUAAAGAGUAUGUAGGCUGAGAAAUAAGUCGAAUUUUAAAGCUCCAAGCUUAACUUGGAAUUUGGAUUCGAUACUAUUUUUCUUGAGGAUAGCAGGGGCAAGCGGAAUUCCCGGUGUAGCAGUGAAAUGCGUUGAUCUCGGGAAGAACACCAAUGGCGAAGGCAGCUUGCUAGGCUAUCUCUGACGCUGAGAUACGAAAGCGUGGGGAG
RNAcentral lists this ribosomal RNA (245 nucleotides) under uncultured bacterium. Its description in RNAcentral is "partial 16S ribosomal RNA". It matches the Rfam family "Bacterial small subunit ribosomal RNA", at positions 524 to 768 of the family's 1533-position model. The record is from RNAcentral.